GGUCAACCAUCUGUGUCAAACUGAGUUCUAGUUGUCUCACAUCUCUGAAUGAGAAGUUUUUUUUUUCUUUUUUUUUUUUUUGGAGCUGGGGACCGAACCCAGGGCCUUGCGCUCGGUAGACAAGUGCUCUACCACUGAGCUAAAUCCCCAACUCUUUCUGAAUGAGAAUUUUUUUUUUUCUUUUCUUUUUUUCGGAGCUGGGGACCGAACCCAGGGCCUUGCGCUUCCUAGGCAAGCGCUCUACCACUGAGCUAAAUCCCCAGCCCCCUGAAUGAGAAUUUUAACUGUGACAAACUUUAAAGAGUAAAAGAACAUUGAAUCAUUAGAGAUGAGAGUCUAAUGACAGCAGCUGCUGCUCCUCCAGGGGACGACCCUGCAUGGCAGCUGCCUGAAGAGAAAUAUACAAGUGCUUUGGCUCACCACCAUCUGCAACUCCAGUUCAAGGGAUCCACCUCCUCUUUUGGUCUCCACAGGCACACACACCUGAUGCACGUACAUCCAUGCAUCUAACGUUAUUCUAUACCAGUCCCUUAGCUCGCAUUUGCCUCAGUAUUGGCGAUAAGAUGAUGCUGACUAAGAAAACUGGUGAAGUAAUCAUCAACCAAGAGCUAAUGUCUGUCUCGUCCUCAGAGUUGAAGGUGGUUCUGGAACAUGAAAACUGAAGCACAGUAAAGUGUGGAUUUGGCAGAUGUUGACUACAGGUGGUUUUUGACCUCUGUGGGUUUGCAUUUAAGUUGAAAAUACCCUAAAGGAGCAGAACUGAGGGAGAGAGACACAGAGAGAACACACACACAUAUGGAGUUUAUUAGAGUGAGUAACCUACAGGCUGUGAUCCAGCUAGCCCAGCCAGGGAUGUCUGCCAAUGGAUGUCCAAGAGUCCAGUAGUUGUUCAGUCCAUGAGGCUGGGUGCCUUGGCUGGUCUUUAGGAUAGGCUAAUGCCAGUGAAGGAAUGGACUGGAUGUGUAGACUACCAGUAGAAGGUGUGGUCCAGAUUAAAGGUGGAUCUUCACACCUCAAAUGAUCUAAUUAAGAAAAAAUCCCUCAGGGGUGUAGCCAGCCAUUGGACUUUAGUUAGCUCCAGAUGAAGUUAAGCUGACAACCAAGAAUAGCCAGCACAGCAGUGAACAAUUGUUUACCUUUCAGAAUAGCUAGCAGAGGGCAUUUUCCGUGUUCCCAGCACAAGUGCCAAUAAUCACCCAUUGUCUCUCAUGCUGAAGUGUCACGUUGUGCAUCAUUUACAGGCAAACGUGUGUGUUAGUAAGUAGGCAUUUCUGAAAAUAGGAAUAAUAUUGGCCAAAACUUUAAUAUGUGAUUUUUAUGUCUAAGAACAAGGUAACAAAUGAGAAAAAUAAUUCAAGGUUUUGGCUUAAAAAGUGCUAAAUAAGAGUCGGGGUGGGGGUGGGGGCAGCAGCGGCAAAAAGAGAGAGAGAGAGAGA
Non-coding RNA from Rattus norvegicus (Norway rat), 1436 nucleotides. The record is from RefSeq and is a predicted model, not a curated record. NCBI's taxonomy places the organism in Eukaryota, Metazoa, Chordata, Mammalia, Rodentia, Muridae.